Molecule: ribosomal RNA, 433 nt
Filed under: uncultured bacterium
Lineage: Bacteria
Description: partial 16S ribosomal RNA
Rfam family: Bacterial small subunit ribosomal RNA
Source: RNAcentral
AACGAACGCUGGCGGCAUGCCUAACACAUGCAAGUCGAACGAGACCUUCGGGUCUAGUGGCGCACGGGUGCGUAACGCGUGGGAACCUGCCCUUAGGUUCGGAAUAACUCCCCGAAAGGGGUGCUAAUACCGGAUAAUGUCUUCGGACCAAAGAUUUAUCGCCUUUGGAUGGGCCCGCGUUGGAUUAGCUAGUUGGUAGGGUAAAAGCCUACCAAGGCGACGAUCCAUAGCUGGUCGGAGAGGAUGAUCAGCCACACUGGGACUGCGACACGGCCCAGACUCCUACGGGAGGCAGCAGUGGGGAAUAUUGGACAAUGGGCGAAAGCCUGAUCCAGCAAUGCCGCGUGAGUGAUGAAGGCCUUAGGGUUGUAAAGCUCUUUUACCCGGGAUGAUAAUGACAGUACCGGGAGAAUAAGCUCCGGCUAACUCCGUG